AAUUGUUGAAUGUUUUAAUGCAUUUUGAAUCAUAAUGAAAAACAUUUUACAUCUAAAAACAAAUUAGCAGAAUAAUAAAAAGUGGUUCCACAUAACUUAUAAAUUUUUUUCCAAAAAUGUAGUUUUCACAGAUUUAGGCAACAAAUAAGAUGUUUCAUUCCAGAUCUUUCUGACUGUAUACACAAAACUUUGUGACAACUGACGUGCAUUGCUUGAAAGACAUAAAAGCUUGAUUUUGCCCAGUAAUGAGCUCUCUGUGAAAUUCUGCACAACACUGAAACUCUAACUGCAACUCUCCUCCAUUUUAUGAAAUGCUGGACAUUGUUCAGUGCUAAAGAACACUCUUUAGAACAUUCAAAGCCAUGAAAUGUUUUCCACAUAAUUUAGUCGGUGUAGUAUUACUCACCACCACUGCUCAUGUGUGAUUUGCUUCUAGGGGAAUGGCAGCCUUGGCUUCACCUUCGGUUCAGUAUAUAAAAUUAAGUGAUAGUUGAGUGUUCAGCUGAUUUAAAUAUUAGCCUGCUUCUAAGAGCGUGGCUCUAGCACCUUGUUUGGUUGAUUUUUGCAAAGUGAAAGCAUGUAAUAAUCCCAUUCCUGGUGCCAGAGGAUGGUCCCUCUGGUGAUAUAAAAAGUUUGCAGCAAUGAUGAUUGAACUGCAUAGAGUCUAGUGGUCCUGUAAUACAUAUGUGUUAGAGAAGCUUAAACAGACACUUUAGUUUAGCAGGAUCAAACCCAGUGACCUUCCCCCGUAAUAAAAGGAUAAUCAUUGCUCAAGACAUUUCAUGCAGGCCAUGCUGGAGAAACUGCUUCUGCUGGCUGGAGAGAUAUUUUUCUCUUUUUUUAAACAGCAUCAAUCUGUGUAAAGUCCUCUUUGUUACCAACUGAAAGUGAGUCUUUUCUUCUUCAAGCUAAAACCAUCAACCCAACAUCAAAUGGCUUUUCCCAACAGUUAAAAACCCAGGGGAAAAAAAUGAAGAAAAGGUGAAAAUAAACUUUGAUACCAUCCUUUAACCCUUGUUAUCAGAAGACUUAAAACUCUGCAGCUGCGUUCUCCAACCUCACUGGUUUGGUAUUUUAAGAUUACUUCAGUACAAUUCUGUAUAUAUCUUGUAUCUUAAAGAAAAAAAAUAAAAAAAAAGGGGGGGGGAACAAACAGAAAAAAACAAGGGACCAAGCUGCUAUCAUGACUCGUACUGCAGUGAUACUACAUACAUUCUCCACAAAAUACCUUGAGCUUCCUUGAGGUUACACUCCAAAACUAUGUCUAACACCCCAGUUUCCCUACGAUUCCUAAAUGAUGCAUUAAUCAUCCCAUCUCAUUGUACUCCAAUGCCACUACUUAUAGCUAAGAGUAGAACCAGUUAACUCAUCCGUCUUAUUGUCAUUACAAACAAUAACUGUAGAGGACAUGAGCACAGCUAUAGUUUCAUGAAAUCACAGCGAUGAGAUAAGAGUUCCUAAUACUUAAUUUAUGCCAACUCACCAUCAACUCCAUGAUUCCCCUGUAAGAGUGCACCCUUGACUUACCCAUGCCCUUCAUCUUAUACUGUGAUAUGUCAGACAGUCAGGGGCAGUAUCUCCCUUUAGCUAAAAAGAAGUGUCUGUAAGCAGCCUUUUUGUUCAUUCAAAGACAUCAGCUGCCACCUGCAUUUACUUCUAUAAUCAGCAGCUGCAGUGUAACAACCCACUGCCAGUGCAAAAAAAAGCUAAGCACAGUGAGGAGCAAAACCAGAGUAAGAUCAUUUGGGAGAAAGAAGGGAGACCUGUGUUAAUUACCCCCUCAUAGAACAGAACAGAGGUUGCAGCAGCCCUCACCAGCGCUGAGAACAGAAAGGUAACAGAUGAUGUUUACUUAUCGUAUUGCUCCAUUAGCUUUAAGUGUUAAUUAUCUUAAGGAUCACAUUUAGUAUGAUUGUCUUUCGUGUCAGAGAUAGUACUUCAGCCAGAGAUCAAAAGUGCUUUUUCUAGGCUACAGAGAGAUCCAACACAUCUUGACCAACAUUCACUUUUGAGGUAGUACUCAUUUACUUUGUAUUGCUGGCUCAAAACAAAAAUAUGGGAAGUGAACACAAUUAAAAGUAUGCUCACUGUAAGUAUAUAAACAAGGAAAAAAUAAAAAACAACUCCCAAAAAACCUAUUUCCUUUCUGGGCAGAUCACCAACAAGAAGCAAUCCUUCUUACAAAGGUCAGCUCACAUUCACUGGUAAAGUCAAACUUUCAUAAAUGGUUUAUAACAAUAGCUAUAAACUAAAGUGCUUCAAAAUUUGCUUGACAAGGAUUCAGUGAUUAGGAUUGUAAUAUUCUGGAUUUUUGCUAGUACAAAAUGCCACGAGAUUUUAGAAUCAUUUCAUAUAAGAAGGGCAGAAUGAAUAUUUUUCUUUUUCAAAAGAAAAACUACAAAAAGCAUUCCAAAUAAACCUGGCAGUCUAUACUCACGACAAGCUGCUUGCAUUUUCCUUCUCAAACCUAUUAUUUCUCCAGUAACAGCAAUAAAAAUGGAGUUGAAGUU
This is a long non-coding RNA of Strigops habroptila (Kakapo), 2510 nucleotides long. The record is from Ensembl. NCBI's taxonomy places the organism in Eukaryota, Metazoa, Chordata, Aves, Psittaciformes, Psittacidae.